Molecule: long non-coding RNA, 2142 nt
Filed under: Brassica napus (rape)
Lineage: Eukaryota; Viridiplantae; Streptophyta; Magnoliopsida; Brassicales; Brassicaceae
Description: long non-coding RNA (BNAP_LNC015512)
Source: RNAcentral
CUUCUGAGAUAAUAAGCUGGGUUGAAAUAUUUCCAUAUCCCAUGAUGACUACCACUCACCACCGCCUUACUCCUCGCCAUUACGGUAGAGAUCAGAUCUCGUCGUUCCUAACUACAAAGACAGGUGAUUAAAAAUUUCGAAAAAAGAAGGAUGAGAAUGAAGAAAAAAAAUGAGGUAACAGAUCGGGAUCAGAGGAAAGAUAGGGGAAAAGACUUAAAAUAAUGUCGGAGAUCCGACGGUAAAAGAGAAGAAGAGUGUUUGGAAAGAAGAAUGUGAUGUCCUUUUAUGCUAAAGCACACAACAAUUCAACAAUGUUGGGGGAAAAGAGAAGAGAAUUGAUUCGACAACGCUAACCGCUGAUUUACGUGUGUGAAAAUUCGUUAUUCUCGUGAAUUUCAGAGGUGGACGCUUUGCGAUUGGUUCUCAUUGAUUUACCGGUUUUGUAAAUUUUGUUUAAUAAAAUCUAAACCAGCUAAACUCGACUUUGUCUUCUGAACGGACGAGAGUAGAUCAGGGGGUUUGGAUCGCUUAUCCGGAUUACAAUAAUAAAUGAGACUACAUUAGUCUCUGUGCCACUUUUUGACUUUUCUUUACACUCAGAAGCUACUUUUUAUACGUGAGACACUUUGUUGUGGGUCAUCAAUAAACUGUGAACAAUUUUGCCUUUAAUAUUCAAUGCAUGGAUGGAAGAUACGUGGACGGGUGAUGCGUGGACGGAGAUGAGUGUAAAAAUUUCAGAAGCUUUAUCAGAGCAAGCUCCACAAUAGUUGAACUUAAGGAUACAAUUCCAACAACAAUGUUUGUCUGUGGAUGGAGACGAGAAGAUUUUGAUUAUAUGAAAGCUUUCACCCUCUCCUUUUAGUCGAGUAAGAAAUACCUCGGGAGAUAUCGAUCUUGUAGAUAUAGACGUUAACAUAACCAUGAAUAAAGAACAAGAGAGAUCUUUUAAAUUUAUGGAUAGGGAAUUGAAGGUUGAUCUGGUGGAUAAUAGAUAUAAAAAAAUGCAACAUAUUGAAAGACUAUGAUAUGGAUGCCAAUGUGUCCACAAUCUCAAGGAUGAACAAAUUAAUAACUUCAAACCAAUAACUACCACGUACAUGUCGAGAGAAAAAAACAAGCUUGAGUGAUGAAAACAAAGCUAAACAAACCAAAAAGUUAAAAACGAGUCAUCUCCUCCUCCAAAACCCCUAGUCAAAACGAGUCAGCUCCUCUUCCUGGUGAGCCACACCAUGGAUUCCGAGCUCAACAUCGUCGUGGAUGAGCACGAUGAAGCUGCGGUGGUUCGAGCUCGUUACAAUCCUCCACCAUGAGAUAUGUAGUAUGCUGAAUUUUGAAUUUUAAUCAUAAUUUUACUUGUCCACAAAUAGCCGUCCAUGUUUACCCGUCCAUGUUUACCCGUCCACGCUUUUCUUCCCACACCCAUCCACAUGUGUCGUUCUAUGUUUAUAUUCUACAUGUAGUAAUCCAUGUUUUUCAAACAUCCACAUAUCACUCAUCCAUAACACAAUCAUUAAAUAUAUGUACAAGUAUAGAUUUUAAAAUAUAACAAAAAAAAAUAUCAAAGUGAAUAUCAAAUUAUAGAGAAUAAAAAAAUAUAAUUUAUUAUAUCAACAAAAUUUGCUAUAUGUAUUUUUAAUUUAAAAAUAAACAAAAACAAAAUAUUAAGAAAUAGACUAAACAAUAAUAAAGAAACACACUUUCUAUUUCUUCUUGUUUAACACAAGAUUUAAAGGAAAAAAAACUGAGAUCCAGAGGAGAACAUAGAGAAAGGGUAAAAACACCUGGUAAUCACGGGAGAGAGAAUGACGAUCCCAAAGGACCAUGGAAACGGAGAGGAAGAGGAAGAAAAGAAGAGCAAGACGCCUAGGCCUUCUGAGAUAAUAAGCUGGGUUGAAAUAUUUCCAUAUCCCAUGAUGACUACCACUCACCACCGCCUUACUCCUCGCCAUUACGGUAGAGAUCAGAUCUCGUCGUUCCUAACUACAAAGACAGGUGAUUAAAAAUUUCGAAAAAAGAAGGAUGAGAAUGAAGAAAAAAAAUGAGGUAACAGAUCGGGAUCAGAGGAAAGAUAGGGGAAAAGACUUAAAAUAAUGUCGGAGAUCCGACGGUAAAAGAGAAGAAGAGUGUUUGGAAAGAAGAAUG